This 294-nucleotide ribosomal RNA is filed under the name uncultured bacterium. RNAcentral's name for it is "partial 16S ribosomal RNA". It matches the Rfam family "Bacterial small subunit ribosomal RNA", at positions 355 to 665 of the family's 1533-position model. The record is from RNAcentral.
UGGGGAAUAUUGGACAAUGGGGGCAACCCUGAUCCAGCAAUGCCGCGUGUGUGAAGAAGGUCUUCGGAUUGUAAAGCACUUUCGACGGGGACGAUGAUGACGGUACCCGUAGAAGAAGCCCCGGCUAACUUCGUGCCAGCAGCCGCGGUAAUACGAAGGGGGCUAGCGUUGCUCGGAAUGACUGGGCGUAAAGGGCGUGUAGGCGGUUUACACAGUCAGAUGUGAAAAUCCCCGGGCUUAACCUGGGAGCUGCAUUUGAUACGUGUAGACUAGAGUGUGAGAGAGGGUUUGUGG